GACGAACGCUGGCGGCGUGCUUAACACAUGCAAGUCGUACGAUGACCCGGCUCUUCGGAGCUGGUGAUUAGUGGCGAACGGGUGAGUAACACGUGGGUGACCUGCCCUGCACUCUGGGAUAAGCCCGGGAAACUGGGUCUAAUACUGGAUACGACCAGUGGCCGCAUGGUCUGCUGGUGGAAAGCCCUUCGGGGUGGUGUGGGAUGGGCCCGCGGCCUAUCAGCUUGUUGGUGGGGUGAUGGCCUACCAAGGCGACGACGGGUAGCCGGCCUGAGAGGGUGUCCGGCCACACUGGGACUGAGACACGGCCCAGACUCCUACGGGAGGCAGCAGUGGGGAAUCGUGCACAAUGGGCGAAAGCCUGAUGCAGCGACGCCGCGUGAGGGAUGACGGCCUUCGGGUGGUAAACCUCUUUCGGCAGGGAACAAGCCUGGGGGGUGUCGUCUGGGUGAGGGUACCUGCGGAAGAAGCACCGGCUAACUACGUG
This 487-nucleotide ribosomal RNA is filed under the name uncultured bacterium. RNAcentral describes it as "partial 16S ribosomal RNA". It matches the Rfam family "Bacterial small subunit ribosomal RNA", at positions 28 to 507 of the family's 1533-position model. The record is from RNAcentral.